Molecule: long non-coding RNA, 375 nt
Filed under: Brassica napus (rape)
Lineage: Eukaryota; Viridiplantae; Streptophyta; Magnoliopsida; Brassicales; Brassicaceae
Description: long non-coding RNA (BNAP_LNC009307)
Source: RNAcentral
ACUCAGACGCCUAUGAAGCUGCCCUAAUGCACAAGAGAUACAAGUAUCAAAUCCUAUAUAUGCAUAUUUAAAUUUUGAUGGUGUGAAGCUAUUACAACACUAGUAAAACCCACUAGAUUAUAUAUCCUGAUAGCAUAAUACAAUAAUUUACAUAGCAUAGUGGAACGAAUGUAUACACCAUAACUAGUUUAUAAUCUACGAAAUAAUAUCUACCGUAGAUUUCCUGCACAUACAUUUUCCUGCUACAUUAUUACACUGUCCAUAUCCUUCUUUCUAUCUUUUUUAAAUGGUGUCAUAUUAUUUUCUGAAAUACUUUUUUUUUAUAAAAUAGGGACCAGGAUCAAAUCUUGUUGAUCCUCUUCUUACGUUGACAGC